Molecule: small RNA, 106 nt
Filed under: Klebsiella pneumoniae
Lineage: Bacteria; Pseudomonadati; Pseudomonadota; Gammaproteobacteria; Enterobacterales; Enterobacteriaceae
Description: partial RtT sRNA
Rfam family: RtT RNA
About the family: This family represents a bacterial cis-regulatory element known as RtT RNA. The exact function of RtT is unknown although it is thought that it may be involved in changing the cellular response in relation to amino acid starvation.
Source: RNAcentral
UGCAUCUGAGGCCAGUGAGGAUGAGAACCUCCGGGGGCAGGAGGUUCGACUCGAGCGAAGCGAGAGAACGUUGCGUCAGCAACGGCCCGCAGGGCGAGCCACGAAG